GUGGGGAAUAUUGGACAAUGGGCGCAAGCCUGAUCCAGCCAUGCCGCGUGAGUGAUGAAGGCCUUAGGGUUGUAAAGCUCUUUUGUCCGGGAAGAUAAUGACUGUACCGGAAGAAUAAGCCCCGGCUAACUUCGUGCCAGCAGCCGCGGUAAUACGAAGGGGGCUAGCGUUGUUCGGAAUCACUGGGCGUAAAGCGCACGUAGGCGGACCAUUAAGUCAGGGGUGAAAGCCUGGAGCUCAACUCCAGAACUGCCUUUGAUACUGAUGGUCUCGAGUAUGGAAGAGGUUGGUGGAACUGCGAGUGUAGAGGUGAAAUUCGUAGAUAUUCGGAGGAACACCAGUGGCGAAGGCGGCUUACUGGUCCAUUACUGACGCUGAGGUGCGAAAGCGUGGGGAGCAAACAGGAUUAGAUACCCGUGUAGUCC
This 425-nucleotide ribosomal RNA is filed under the name uncultured bacterium. RNAcentral's name for it is "partial 16S ribosomal RNA". It matches the Rfam family "Bacterial small subunit ribosomal RNA", at positions 354 to 796 of the family's 1533-position model. The record is from RNAcentral.